AUUGAACGCUGGCGGCAGGCCUAACACAUGCAAGUCGAACGGUAGCACAGAGAGCUUGCUCUCGGGUGACGAGUGGCGGACGGGUGAGUAACGUCUGGGAAACUGCCCGAUGGAGGGGGAUAACUACUGGAAACGGUAGCUAAUACCGCAUAACGUCGCAAGACCAAAGUGGGGGACCUUCGGGCCUCACACCAUCGGAUGUGCCCAGAUGGGAUUAGCUAGUAGGUGGGGUAAUGGCUCACCUAGGCGACGAUCCCUAGCUGGUCUGAGAGGAGGACCAGCCACCCUGGAACUGAGACACGGUCCAGACUCCUACGGGAGGCAGCAGUGGGGAAUAUUGCACAAUGGGCGCAAGCCUGAUGCAGCCAUGCCGCGUGUAUGAAGAAGGCCUUCGGGUUGUAAAGUACUUUCAGCGGGGAGGAAGGCGGUGAAGUUAAUAGCUUCACCGAUUGACGUUACCCGCAGAAGAAGCACCGGCUAACUCCGUGCCAGCAGCCGCGGUAA
RNAcentral lists this ribosomal RNA (504 nucleotides) under uncultured bacterium. RNAcentral describes it as "partial 16S ribosomal RNA". It matches the Rfam family "Bacterial small subunit ribosomal RNA", at positions 29 to 523 of the family's 1533-position model. The record is from RNAcentral.